Non-coding RNA from Rattus norvegicus (Norway rat), 7620 nucleotides. The record is from RefSeq and is a predicted model, not a curated record. Lineage: Eukaryota; Metazoa; Chordata; Mammalia; Rodentia; Muridae.
CCAUGGCCACAUCCCCACAGAAGUCACCCUCGGUCCCCAAAUCUCCCACCCCCAAGUCGCCUCCGUCCCGCAAGAAGGAUGACUCGUUCUUGGGGAAACUUGGAGGGACGCUGGCCCGGAGGAAGAAAGCCAAGGAAGUAUCCGAGUUCCAGGAGGAAGGAAUGAACGCCAUCAACCUGCCUCUUAGCCCCAUCUCCUUCGAGCUGGACCCCGAAGACACCAUGCUGGAGGAGAAUGAGGUGCGGACAAUGGUCGAUCCAAACUCACGCAAUGACCCCAAGCUUCAAGAGCUGAUGAAGGUGCUCAUCGACUGGAUCAAUGACGUAUUGGUGGGAGAAAGAAUCAUCGUGAAGGACCUCGCUGAAGAUCUCUAUGAUGGCCAAGUCCUGCAGAAGCUCUUCGAGAAACUGGAGAGUGAGAAGCUCAACGUGGCAGAGGUUACCCAGUCGGAGAUCGCCCAGAAGCAAAAGCUACAGACUGUACUGGAGAAGAUCAACGAGACCCUGAAGCUUCCUCCCAGGAGCAUCAAGUGGAACGUAGACUGUGAGUUGGGAGAGGAGGACUAUGAGAUGACACCGGCCCCUGCCUACUGUGUCCCCACCAUUCCUAAACUGUAACCUGGGGUGCAAAUGCGUUCCUCUUUGAGAAACACCAUUGACAGGAAAGAUAGCCUAUCCUGCAAACCCUUGGAGGGACGGAAAUAAUAGAACGUCCAGGUCGGUGUCCCUUUGUCUGGAAGGUUUUCUGUGGCUAUAGGUCAGCUUGGUGAGGAAAUGAUGUAUUCCUGGAGCCACUUCUGAGACCUACACAGCCUGCUGAGAGCAAUGCUGUCUCCAAAUGCAGGAACUUGGGGAAGCUGAGGGUCACAGGUUCACAGAGCUGGGAGGCCAAGAGUGAGGCUUCCGUCCGCCCACACCCUGUCACAUCUACCCUGAUCCUCAGAAGGAGCAAAGAUACUUCAGAGGUCCCACGCACUAGAAAAGAGUUUGUUUUGAUGUUUUCUUUACUAGAGAGAUAGAGAGAGGCAGAGGCAGAGGCAGAGGCAGAGACAGACAGACUGACAGACAGACGGACUGACUGACACAUAGCAGGGAAGGGGGCAUGUUCAUGCCCUGGUACAGAUCUGGAGGUCAGGAUACAACUUUAUAGAUUCAGUUCUCUCCUUUCGCCUUUACAUGGAUUUAUUUGCUUGACUGCUUCUACUCGGCUUGAAUUCUUCUCCACUUGUAUAGCACUGGUAUACACUUGUAUAGCAAUUUGUAUAUGCAUUGGUGUUUUUCCUGAUACACAGCCCACAAAGGCUAAAAGGAGGUGUCAGAUCCCCUAGGACUGGAGCUCACAAACAGUUGUGAGCUGCUGUGUGGGCAGUGGAAAUCAAACCUCAGUCUUCCGGAAGAACGACUAGUGCUCUGUACCUCUGCGUUAUCUCCCCAGCCCCAAGAGCAUUCGUCCUUCUGCUGCCUCAAGAGUGUGCCUUGGCAUCUAAUACUAACGCGAACUUAGAUUCAACAGUAAGUCAGUGGGUCACAUGACACCAGCAAUGACAGCCAAUCCCUAGUCAGGGAGUUUUCUGACUUUUCUCUUUGUAAAGAAACAAAUGCAGAUUUUUACAGGGCAAGCAAAAUGGUUAGACACGGUUUGGAUCUAAGUAUUAGGGUGCCCGCCCCUACCACAGUGACCUCAUAGCUGCCAGGAGCUGUCUCCUGUCCUCGUUUCCAACAUCUGACAUUGGAGCCAAAACACCCAGUACCUUCUUCAGCAUAAUUAAACCAUUGCUGGCAUAGAACAGUGUGAUAAGCUGGGAACAAGGCAUUCUCUGCUUAGCCAAAGUCACCUGAGGGUUGAGGGCAGGACCUGGCUUUAGGCCCCAGAAGCUGCCCUGCUAAGGAGCCCUAUUUCCCGGUGCCCCUGGGAAAUAGUGUUCAAAAAAAGGACACAUGAGGCUGGGCAUAUGACUUACUGGGUAAAGUGUUCACCUCACAAGCCUUGGAUUGAGCCCCAGCACCCAUAUUUAAAAAAAAAAUUAAAAGCUCAGAGUAGUGCCACUUACCUGUAAUUUCAGCGCUGAUGAGGCAGAGACAGGAGAGCUCCGGAGUUCUCUGGCCAACCCUGGCUGAGAGACUCCAGGUUCAGUGAGAGCGGAUGGAGCCUUGAGGAAGACACUUGACCACCUGAUAUUGACCUCUGGCCUCACACAUAUACACCACAUAUGCGCGCGUGCACGCACACACACACACACACACACACACACGUGCACACACACACGCACACACGCACGCACACACGCACACACACUCACACACACACACACACGCACGCACGCACACACACACUUGCUUUGCAAGCCGGUUGCUAAUAUCAGAUGGGUUUAGUUGGAUAUUUUUGCUGCCUCUCUGUUUACUUCUUGUGAAUUACUCUCCCUGGCUAGCUCUCCAUAAUGGAGAUGGAUUCGUGGGUCAGAAGAGAUAAUUAUUCUCUUGGCUGCUGCUCCCUGUGAUGCCUCGGGGUAUCAAGAAGAGCUGAAGCUUGUUUACAAGAAGAAGCAGUGUGUUCUAGAAGGAACAGAGCAAGCACAACUCACAGGGGGGAAGCUCUCUCCUUUCUCUCUAAUCAGGCCUGGCUGUGCAUUUGGGGACAUGGUGCCGCCUUUAUGCUCAGGACAAGGGUGACAGGGACAAGCUGCUGAGUUACUAAGCACUUCAGAGAUUUCUUUCUUUUCUGUUCACAAACCGUAUUUUUUUAUUAUUGAAAAUUUAGAAAACGCCAGUGUAUAAAAGCACAUGUAAAUAUUAAUGUCCAUUUUGAUCCUUGCAGCACCCACCCACCCAGCUCAGGUUAUCCUUUUCAUUACCCCUGUCUCCCAAAUGGGAAAAUGAAGGCACAGAGAAGGUUUGACUCUGGAAGUCAUACCAGGGUCAGAGAUUGUAGCGUCUUCGCUAUCACUGCCCCAGAACAAGGAAGGGUGACUGGUACACUUGAUGUCCCCUGAAGGAGCACUGCUGUCCUACUUACAGAGUGACAAACAGUGGAGCCAGGAAUCUGUUUCCGAGAGCCAGCUGCAGAGCCAGGCUGUGUACUGAGCCUGUGUAUGAGGGCUCUAUACGCUGCCUGCCUAGAGAUGGGCCCUGAAAGUGUUGGAGUAUUACUGCAAGGUGUGUGUCCUUCUGUCUGUGUGUCAGUGUGUGUGGUAAAGAGCGUCUAGAACAUGCUUUUUAUUUGCUCACAUAUGAAUACACAGGGAAUGCCUGCACUGUGGGUAGCUGCAGACAGUGUGUGGACACAGACACACGAGUUGAAUAGCGUUUCCAUCUUUUUCACUAUUUUAAGUUAGCACACAAAGUAUGGAGGUAUGACGCUGUGCCCUUUCAUACCUGUGUGUCACUUACUUUGCUCUAACUCCUCCUCUCCCACCUUCCUGCCCCUUUCUUGCUCAACUCCUUCCUGACUCCAGAUAGAACCUCAUUCUGUUUUCAUAUCACAUGUGUCCCAUUCCCUCCUUUUUCCCCUGUCCUUUAAGAUCUCGUCCUCCUCCCCACCUCACAUGCAUGCAUGCGCACACACGUGUACACACACAGACACAGAGCCAUCGCUUAUUCCACUUCUUGAUCUCCAGUUGUCUUCAUUUGCCUGCAAACGUCAUAGCUUCAUUUUUCUCUAGAGCCAAAUUACACUGUACCAUUGUAUACUUACACUGUGUCUAUUCAUCUGCUGAUGGACAUCAAGGCCGGUUCCCACUUCCUGAGUACUGUGAGUAGCACAGCUGUAAACAUGGAUGUCAAGUGUCUUCAUGGCCUGUCGGCGUAGGCUCUGGGAUACACCCAGGAGUGAUCUAGCUGCCACAUAUGGUAGUUCUGGUUUUGGUUUUUUGAGGAACCACCAUGCUUAUUCCUAUAGUGGCCCUACCAGUGUACACUCGCACCAGUGUGAAUGAGGCUUCCUCAUUCCCCGUAGCCUCCCUGGGAUUCAUUCUCCUGGUGGUAGUCAUUCUAACUGGAUAGAAUCUUACAAUGCUUCUAAUUUGUGUUGCCCUCAUAGUUAAGGGAGUUGAACACCUUUCCAUUCAUAUAUAUAUAUAUAUAUAUAUAUAUUCCAUUUGUAUUUCUCUUGAAUACAAAUUUACCCAUCAAUUGAUCAGAUGGUUUAGCAGGUAGAGCGGUGGUUGUCUAUUCAGUGUGUUUACCCGUUCACUGAUUGGAUGGUUUGGAGGGUAGGAUGAUGUUUAAUAUUUUAAGAUUCUUUAUAGAUGCUACUCCAUCUUGUGGCAUAGGAUCUAACAAGGUUUUCUCCCAUUCUGUAGCCCAUCUCCUCACCCUGAUAGAUUAUUUCCUCUGCUCUGCAGACAUUUUAUUAAUUUCCUGCAGUCCCAUCUUUUAGUUCAUGGGGUCAUUUCCUAAGCCAUUUGGGUUCCUUGUGGGAAGUCUUCAUGUAUGCCUGAAUAGAAGUCUUUUACUUGGGUUUUCUUCUAGCAGCUUCAACUUCUCAGGUCCCACCUUAAGAUCUUCGAUCGUUUUGGACUGAUUGUUAUUCAAAGGUGAGAGAUACAGGUCUAGUUUCAUUCUUUUACAAAGGGUUGGUGAUUUGCCUUUCCCAGCCCCUUUGUUAAAGAGGCAUUUUUUCCUCCAGUAUAUGCUUUUACAUCCCUGUUGAAAACCAGGUGACUGUAGUCAUGUGGGUUUAUUUCCUAGUGUUGUACGCUUUACUAUUGGUCUGCAGAUUUCUUUUUACGUCCCUGCAAUUGAUACCUUUCCUAGCCUAACAACACAUAUAUCACACACAAUGACCACCACGCCUGUUCCUUUAAAGUGUAACAACAAAAUUAACAUGAAGAACUUGAGAGAUGGUUCUGGCAGUUAAGAGCUGCUCUUUUAGAGAACCGGGUUCAGUUCUCAGCAUCCACAUGACAUCUCAUAACCCCAGCAACAGGAAAUCUGACACCCUCCUGUGGUCUCUAGGCACAUACAUUGUGCACAGACAGACAGGCAAAGCAUCCACAUACAUGGAGUAAAUAAAUCUAAUUUUUAAACUACCAUGAAUAUUGUUUUUCAUAAUUAAAUAGAAUAUGCAUUAUUGGUGUAGAUAUCGGAGUCUCCGUGCUCAGGUUUUUCUCUAUUAUUGAGUUCUCUUCCUUUAACUUAAAGGCAGCCCUUCAGGCCUCCACUUCACCAUCGAUGCAUUGCCAGCCUCAUUGUUCUCAUGCCCUGGGGCCAUCAUUAAAGAUAGCAACACAGUCAGGGUGCUACUGAGCCUGCCCAACACUUGAUGUGUACCAGGUGACUACCAGAGGAGUUGCAUCCAUGGUGUGGAGACACUGGACAAGGAAGUUCCUGUCUUCGUCAAGACAGAAUGACGGAGCUCAGGAUUUCAUCUCAGAACCGGAAACAGUUUUAUAAUCCUUUUCAAGUGCUGAUCACGAGUACACGUUUGUACACUGUGUGUAUGUGUAUAGACACCUGCAUGUACGUGCGUCCAGGUGUGCAUGGCUUAUGGUCUUGUCUUGUGUCUGUGGCGUUUCCCUUUAAUUAAUUCAUGUUACUACUUAGCUGACAUUGUCUUGAAAGACUGUGGUUGAUGCAUGUGCUUGGUCCAGGCUCAGGAUUAGAAGGAGAAACGCAGACGCAGCUGGAAGAAAAGAAACAGAAAUGGAUGGGCCACAGUUGAGACUUAAGGGUCUUCAUUUUCCUGUCUUCCUUUUUUAUGAUUUCUGCUAUCGGCUUUUAUACUAUAGGGUUUCUCUGCUUAGGAAGGAGAGAGGGGACAGGGGUAAAAAUAAAAAAUAGCCUCAGGGGCCAGUGAAAUGGCUCAACAGGUAAAGGUUUCUGCCACCAAACUUAACAACCGAAGCUCAAUCCCCAGAAUCUACCACAUGGUAAAAGGCCAUAUUCAACUGGAAAUGUUUUCCCUGAUCUCCAUGUGCAUGCCAUGCACCCCCCCAUACAAUUAAUCAAGGAAAAAAUUGAAAUGAGUUUGUUUGUUUGUUUGUUUGUUUGUUUGUUUGUUUUUUAAAAAAAAUGUUUCAGGAGCCUAAGAUAGUAGUGUCAAGGCCAGGUUGGACUAUGUAGAAUGUUCUGGACCCACAAGAACUACAUGGUAAGAACUGCAUGGUUUUGUUGUCUCUCAGCAGCAAAAGCAAGCUUGGAGGUCCCAGACCUAAGCCACGCUCCUCCUGGGUGUGACCAUUUCCCAGGGUACUUGCUUUUGCUGCUGAUGUGUGACACAGAGGCUAGCAUCCUUGUCCACAUUCUGUGUGUCUACAUGGCAUUAUCUCUCUUGAAAAAGAUUCCCCGGAGGACACAGCACUUGUUAAAAAUAUCUGACAUCUGUCUGAUACCUCGGAUGUCACUUACCAAAAUGAUAUACAGGAACACCAGGCAACAAGGACUUGGCUGACCUGAAUGUUUCCAACAUUGAGUUUGUCACUGAAAGCAAGAGGGGCUUCAAGCGUGCUUACAGCUUCCAGGAUCCAGUCUGGGGAGGACAGAACAACCAUGACUGGAAGAGCAAACCCUGGUUUGGCUCUGUCUUCACGACAGUGCCUUGUCAGUGGCCCAGUCCCAACCACAAGCCAUUUUGAAGGCUGUCACUGAAGGUCAGAGUCAGUGCUUUCCAGACCUGAAUCUUCUGGAAAGCCAGGUGUGCUGCCUGGGGUCAUGUGGUCAGUCUCCACCACUGGCCAUGAGGAGACGCUGCCUGUGGAACAGCCCUGAUGAGGGACAGCGCUAACGAUGUCAAGGGACAGUCUGAAUCAUUUCCUUUCGGUGUGGCUUCUCAAAACUUCUAAAGCAGACUUUGACCCAGGGAAGACAAAUGACACCCUGGCAGCCCUAUGUGGUUGACAGACACAUGUGGUACUCUGGAUUUCCCCUUAUAUGUCCCUGUAAUGAAGAGCUAUGCAGCUAGUAGGACCAACCAGGCAGCCAAAGAACCUGAAGAGUCUGCCCUGUUAUGAAACAGGAAGAGGAGAGGGGUUGGCAUGCCCUGAUUGCCUCUGUGCCAGGGACUUUCUCAUAAGUUAUAAUAAAAAAUUCCAGUCAUUCCUGGCCACCUGCAGUGUCCUGGGGACUCUGCCUUUGUUAAUAUUGGAAGUCUUUACACUGUAUAUGCCCACCUGGGAACUGUCAUUCAAGAUGGUAAAAGCUCAGUGGUCAGAGGAGCCCCUGCCCAAGACCAAAACCAUUAAACAGGUAACAAAGUCAAGUUCAAGUCUACCUAACUGUGAGUCAGUGUAUAGCCCAUCUACUGAGAAAGCUACAACCAGAAGGGCCUGGCCUUCAGCAGCAUAAAUGGUUUAGUAUGGACACAGGGUGUGGCAACUGUGGAAGGGUUUGCUUGGGAACAUAGCCUAUACCCGCCUUAGAAGGCGUGGACAGCCAAACUUUUGGGGUGGUUCUCUUGGUUCUUCAGAGAAGUUGACUCUGGACAGAGGAAGAGAUUCAGAGCUUCUGACUUGGUAUCUCUUGAUUAAAGAAAGCUGUUCAUGCCAAGAACCUGGUUGCCAUCCUCCACCUGCUGGUUGCCCUGUCUCAGUAUUUCCGGGCACCAAUCCGACUCCCAGACCAUGUUUCCAUCCAAGUGGUUGUGGUCCAGAAACGGGAAGGGAUCCUUCAGUCUCGGCAAAUCCAA